GUGGGGAAUAUUGCACAAUGGGGGAAACCCUGAUGCAGCGACGCCGCGUGAAGGAUGAAGUAUUUCGGUAUGUAAACUUCUAUCAGCAGGGAAGAAAAUGACGGUACCUGACUAAGAAGCCCCGGCUAACUACGUGCCAGCAGCCGCGGUAAUACGUAGGGGGCAAGCGUUAUCCGGAUUUACUGGGUGUAAAGGGAGCGUAGACGGCAUUGCAAGUCUGGAGUGAAAACCCGGGGCUUAACCCCGGGAUUGCUUUGGAAACUGUGGAGCUAGAGUACCGGAGAGGCAAGUGGAAUUCCUAGUGUAGCGGUGAAAUGCGUAGAUAUUAGGAGGAACACCAGUGGCGAAGGCGGCUUGCUGGACGGUAACUGACGUUGAGGCUCGAAAGCGUGGGGAGCAAACAGGA
This 406-nucleotide ribosomal RNA is filed under the name uncultured bacterium. RNAcentral describes it as "bacterial SSU rRNA". It matches the Rfam family "Bacterial small subunit ribosomal RNA", at positions 354 to 777 of the family's 1533-position model. The record is from RNAcentral.